This 2559-nucleotide long non-coding RNA is filed under the name Marmota monax (woodchuck). The record is from RNAcentral. Lineage: Eukaryota; Metazoa; Chordata; Mammalia; Rodentia; Sciuridae.
CAGGGCGCGAGACCGGCGGCCGCGCGCACGCUGAGCCCUUUCUGCAGGCGCUUAGGCGGUAGGCGGGGCUACGUCGGGGAGUUGUGGGCGUUGAGAAAAAAGCGAUUGGUGCUGGGGCGGGGCGGAGAGCGUUGCGCGCGCGCACUUGCGGGAACGCGCACGCUGGAUGCGCGGAAGCCGCCGGACUCUGACCAAGGCUGUGGCCGGCAGGUCCUCGCUGGGUGCCCGCCCUCCGUGGCCGGGCGGUGAGUUCCGGGAAGUGGGAGCUACAGGCUCGCUCUGUGCGGGUGUGAGCGCUACCGUCACUCCUACUGUCGCGCAAGGACGUCGCGGCGGAGACACUGAGGAGGAACCAGGGAGAAACCGGGGUGGGACUCGGGGAGCCGCGAAAGCAACCGCACUGGAAAAACCGGAGGGCCGCGUCGCGUGUAGUGUAGAGUCGCCCAGGCCUCGCCCCUUGCUCCCGCGGGCUCCUGGCCGGGUCUGAGCUUUGGUCCGCAGAGGCCGUGCGGGAGCUGCUGCGUCACACCAGGCAGCCUGGGAACCCAACUGUUGGGCAACUGUGGUCGCCUCCCGCAGCCUCCUACGCUUGGGCGACCUGCCGCUGAAUAUCCCUCGGGGGUUGAUACCUUGCACGGGCGGGGCACCGGAGGAGGAGAGAAAAUAGAGUUCUGGUUGUUGACAUCCUGUGACGUUGCUUGAUUCUUUUGCGGGUGACCCAUUCCUAGUUCAGAAAAGAACUUUUACAAUCUUUCCCUUUUAGGUCCCUCCAUAGGGGGCGGGUUGGAGGGUGUGGUGCCGAAUCGCAACAAAAAAAGCUACUCUAGGGGCAUUGGUAACUGUCUCAGUUUAACAUGCUGCAAUUUAGUUGACAGUUUCGUUCAUAACUGUAUCUGCAAGCCUCAGUUACAACCUUGUCAGUGUGUUGGAAACACUAUCUUUUCAAGCAUGGUGAUACCCCAUUUCGCUGUUUUUGAAAGCAUUUUUGUGUGGUCAAAAUUAGUUUACACUUAUCCGUUUUUAGGUGUGCAAAUUUGUCUUGAAUUCCUUAAGGUUAACGACCAUUUUUGAAACUUUCUAAUCCCAUUCUUAAGUCAUUUGAUUUAAUUUAAAGGCCUGCCUUCCAAGUCAAAUGAAUAUGAUUUCCAUAACACAAAUUCCCCGAAUAAUAAUUCUUUCAUUUGGGAGAUACUUGCUUAAAUGGUUUGGUCUAUCUCCAACGAGCUUAAAAUAAAAUUCAAGGGUCUAUUCACUUUGGGAAGUGGGGAGAGGUAUACAUGACCUAUUCAAAAAACAUGCCUGUCUUCAGUCAUUAAAUAGUGAAACAAAGUAGAACAUUACCAUCUUUUGUGUGCUCUACCUCCUUUAUUUUUUUUUCCUUUUUGCUAGAUAUUAAAUAGCUUUGGGCUGGGAGUGUGGCUUGGUGGUAGAGUGCUUGCUUAGCAUGUGCAAGGCCCAGGAUUCAAUCCCCAGAACCACACACAAACACAAACACACAUAGCUUUAAUGCUGGGUUCAGAGGAAUAGUGAGAUCAUACAAAUCUGCAUUUCUGAAGCCCCUUUAGUAUUGUGAACUAAGUACUAAUUUUUAACAUUAAGCUUUGUAUUAGUAAUUAGCCUUAAGGAUACAAAUUUUGCCCUUUUUUUUCUUCUUGAUUACUAGAAUGAUAACAAAAAUCAAAGCUCCAGACAAACUAACCUUGACAAAGAAUAAUCAGAAGUAUGGUUCAGAUAACGAAGUCCUCAUGUAUAACUAAAGCACAUUUUGUCAUUGUAUUACAAAAAGAAUCAGUGUAUAGUCUAUUUUACAUGUUUUUUAAAGCAUGUCAAACCUUUUUUGACUGCUUACUCUGCCUCUGAUGAGCUAGUUUACCUAUAAGAGCUCUAGCAACCUCUUGCAGAAACAAUCUUGCCAAAUUUAUAAUAAAAUAUUAAACAUUGGAGAUUUGUAUUUUGAGUAAAACCAUACUUUAUUGCUCUGCAGAAUUUUAGAAUGUGGAGAAACACAAAGCGGAAAACUGCAAUAAUCUUGGCCAUACUAUUUUUUUUAAAAGGCAGUAGAUAUUGCAAACAUUUUGGAUGAUAUGUUAUCUGGAAAUUAAAUUCUCAGUUUCGAUUUGAAUAAACUAUCAGUAUUAAAAAAUAAUGAUCAAACAUUGAUAAUUUCAACAUGUUAUUAAAUAGUAAAAAUCUCAGAAAAUUACCGACUCUUGGAGCAUUUUUUGUUGUUGCUGAUGAUUUUGGCUUUUUACUAUUUAAUUUCUCCUUUAGAAAUUUUUAUGUUCCUUGGGAGAAUUACAGAAUCUAAGAUAGCAUUUUGUGGAUCCUUAAUUCUCAUAUACUAUUAAUAGGGCUAAUUACCAAUGAGUGUCCUUAAAUGGUGUUAGAGUAAGAACCACUUCUCAAAAAUUGUGAAAUAUGUAACAUAAUGGUAACCCUUGUUCUUCUGCUGAUUUUUUGGAUGCCUAGAUAGGAUUUAAAUCCCAUAAUUAUAUUCAUGCCAUUUAUGGAAGGUGUAUGUCUGAGUAGCCAUUAAAAUAUCUGAUAUUAAAAUGGUCC